This 876-nucleotide long non-coding RNA is filed under the name Chrysemys picta bellii (western painted turtle). RNAcentral's name for it is "lncRNA (ENSCPBG00000020926.1)". Lineage: Eukaryota; Metazoa; Chordata; Testudines; Emydidae. The record is from RNAcentral.
CAAAAGACCAUUGUACUGCCAACAUAGUUCAGAAGCGUUUUGUUAGCUCUAGGCAGAAUUUCCCGACAGAAUGUUUGUUGUUUAUGUUCGAGAUGGACAAAGCUCUGUGGGAGGAGUGGGCUUGGAUCUGGUUCCUGUAUUUAGAUGAAACCAUAGCCCCCUCUCACGCCAAAACCUUAGGAAAGUGGAAGCGUUCAGAGAGAUGGUUCAGGUGUUGCUCCAGCUGGUUUAUUUAUAUACGGCUAUAUCCCCAUCUGUGCUGAAUUACCAAUCCUUUGAGUUGAUUUAUGUGUGUCCUUAUUGCCUCAUUCUCAAUCAGGCUCAUUCGUGCUUUCCUUUAUUUUUCCAAUCCUUCCUUCUGGGCUGCUGUGUUAAUCACCUGAGAUGAGAGAAGCUGUCUGUUGUCAUGGCGACUCCAUCUCUGCUCUGGGCUUCCUGGGCAUUCUUUCAGCGUAUGGCGUCCAGGUGCAGUUUCUCUGGCCACUGUUACAGUUGUUCUUGAAUGUCAUGCAAACAAAGCAGAGUGCCCAGAGGCCUGCUGGUUUUUGUGAGCUGUCAUUGGAGAGAGAUGGGUCAGCAGAGGAAAAAGAGCUGUGACGAAUUAGACAGCAGUUGCUGUUCCAAAGCUCUUUAGCUGCUGAUAAAUGGAGCGGAGACUGCAAGUGACUCCAGAGGAGCCAGUGAGGCUUUCAGAUCGGGCGUGUGUGUUGUGAUUAGCAGAUGGUGGCACGAACCCGGGUUUCAUUUGUGUCCUCAGCCCUCAAGCUCGCUGUGAUACAGACAGGAAGGGGUGGGACUGACUGGCCGGCAAGGUCAGGCAGAGAUGUACAGCACUGAUGAGGAGAUCUUAAUCAGAGAUCAUUGUAAAUUCUCCUC